UGAAAUGUUGCUGAACCCAGCAAGUCCUUUACGAGAUUACGACAAGUGAACUCCCGGGCCAGCGACGUUUGGACUCUUUUUCUUUCGUGCUGUUUACGAAUUAGUCCAGAAUUUUGUGAAAUCGCAAGAAUGUCUGGCCAGCGAAGGCCUGGAGUUCGUGGACGGCAAGCAGUUGUUUAAGGGGCUUCCUUGCCUGUGUUAUUUUUUAAGCCUUGUGUUAUUUUUUAAGUUAUUAUUUUUUUUUAUUUUUCCUUAUGUCCUGCCGAAGUGUAACCAAGCACUGUUUAAAUUUACGUUUGAUCGUGAUUGCCAUAUGUGAAUCUACCCAGAAAAAUUGUCCAACCGUGAACGAAGAAUUUUGUAUUUAUGUUGUUUAAUACAUUAAAAUUUGAACUA
Molecule: long non-coding RNA, 396 nt
Filed under: Daphnia magna
Lineage: Eukaryota; Metazoa; Arthropoda; Branchiopoda; Diplostraca; Daphniidae
Description: uncharacterized LOC123473912
Source: RNAcentral